GACACUCUGCUUUUCUUUAUCAAUCAGAAUCCUGAGGUUGGCUUGAAGCCUGUGUGGUAUAGUCCCAAAGUUUUCAUUGAAGGUGCUGAUGCAGAGACUUUUUCGGAGGGUGAGAUGGUUACAUUUAUAAAUUGGGGCAACCUCAACAUUACAAAAAUACACAAAAAUGCAGAUGGAAAAAUCAUAUCUCUUGAUGCAAAGUUGAAUUUGGAAAACAAAGACUACAAGAAAACCACUAAGAUCACUUGGCUUGCAGAGACUACACAUGCUCUUCCUAUUCCAGUAAUCUGUGUCACUUAUGAGCACUUGAUCACAAAGCCAGUGCUAGGAAAAGACGAGGACUUUAAGCAGUAUGUCAACAAGAACAGUAAGCAUGAAGAGCUAAUGCUAGGGGAUCCCUGCCUUAAGGAUUUGAAAAAAGGAGAUAUUAUACAACUCCAGAGAAGAGGAUUCUUCAUAUGUGAUCAACCUUAUGAACCUGUUAGCCCAUAUAGUUGCAAGGAAGCCCCGUGUGUUUUGAUAUACAUUCCUGAUGGGCACACAAAGGAAAUGCCAACAUCAGGGUCAAAGGAAAAGACCAAAGUAGAAGCCACAAAAAAUGAGACCUCUGCUCCUUUUAAGGAAAGACCAACACCUUCUCUGAAUAAUAAUUGUACUACAUCUGAGGAUUCCUUGGUCCUUUACAAUAGAGUGGCUGUUCAAGGAGAUGUGGUUCGUGAAUUAAAAGCCAAGAAAGCACCAAAGGAAGAUGUAGAUGCAGCUGUAAAACA
This 770-nucleotide small RNA is filed under the name Pan troglodytes (chimpanzee). Its description in RNAcentral is "retained intron". The record is from RNAcentral. Lineage: Eukaryota; Metazoa; Chordata; Mammalia; Primates; Hominidae.